This 1758-nucleotide ribosomal RNA is filed under the name Triticum aestivum (bread wheat). RNAcentral describes it as "partial small subunit ribosomal RNA". The record is from RNAcentral. Lineage: Eukaryota; Viridiplantae; Streptophyta; Magnoliopsida; Poales; Poaceae.
AUGUUUUGCUUUAUGAUCGACUGUUCCGCGGUGUGGCGGCCUCGGCUGGUCAGUGGUUGGUGCGUGUAGGCUCGGCCGUUUGCGGUCGAACGGUGAGCGUCGUCGUCGCCGGUGCUGGUGCUGGAGAGAGCGGUACCUAGGGCCCUUCCUCGUCUGCCCGUGCGGGCUCGGGCCGCGCCGCCGCACCGCGUGGGCGCGCCACACGCCGUGCCUCAUGUCGACCACGGCGCGGCACGGCCCGCCGUGGCCGUGGUGCGAGGAGCGCGAGGCGGAGAGCGCGGCGCCGCGGCGGCGCCGGCUCCGCCGGCAGGCGAGUGAGGUCUCGCGCGUGGGGCAGGAGGCGCGGGUGUAGGCGCGCCGGAGGUGGAGGUCGGGGUGGGAGCGGGAGGGGAGGGGGCGAGGCGUCGAGCGGGAGCGCGGGGUCGGCAGGCGCGAGCUGAAGCUGAGUGAGGACCUCGCGCUCGAGUUGUCGUUGGGUACCCGCCGGCUCUUGCCCGGGCUGCCCCGGGGCCACGAGAAGCGGCGCGAGAUGCUCGAAGGGGGCGGGCGCCCGCCGCGCCGAGACAAGCAGGCCUAGGUGUGCCGGCGCACGCUGGCGCGCCGCAGACGCCGCGACGACUCCCUCGACGACCGCGUAGACCCGCCGCGCCCGCUGGGCCUCCUCCUCCUCCUUCGCCGCCACCUCCGCCCCGACCUCCUGUCCUAUGGCGUCUUCCUGCGCACCUUCGGCAAGACCCGCGCACCCCACCUGUACCACCCGAUGAGGUAGUUGCCGGACGCGUGCAGGUGCGACGGCAAGCACCUCUGGCCGUGCCGCUCCAGCUGCGUCUACCGCACGUUCCUCUUGCCCCACUUCGAAACGAGCCGGUACCGACGGCGCUGCGACGAUCGACGUGCCGUUAGAUUCUUCGACCUGUCACCGGUCGUCCUCUGCAUGAGACACCGCUGGGACUAGUUGACGGCGGUCAAAGAACUCGGUCGAAACCUGCUAGUGUUGCAACCCAAGAAGAUGAGACGGUAGUGGUUGUGGGUGUUCUAUGUGCCUCUCCUCCCCGACACCCUCGACCGGUUCUCCACGGUGCUAAGGAUGUAGUCACGGUUCUUGUCGUUCUUCGUGGAGUGGCUGUGGCGGCUGGAGUUGAAGGAGUACACGGCCCGGUAGCUCUUGGGCGUCGACUGCUGCCGGAGGCGCGAGGCGUGACGCGAGCAGAGGCACAAGCUCCUCGGCCGUUGGAUGCUGCCGGACAGGCUGGACGUCUCGUUCCGGCCGCACCUCCUCAUGCAGCCGACGCGGUGGCACGUGCCGUAGCCGGGCAGCUAGCCGCACAAGCUGAGACAGUCCCUGCCCGUCGACCUGACGCGCACGUACAUGGGAAGAGGAGACGUAAGGUCCUUCGUCUAUGUCCUCUAUAAGCUGUUCCACUUCGCCUAAAACCCGCUUCCCACGUUGCGCCCACUACUCUUUGGUACUUCUAACAUGCAUCCCCGAAACACCCACGAUCUAAGCUUCUUACAACAAGGCUUGUUGCCCUAGCUGAUCCACAUUCAGCUAACUAAAAGUGAAAACCCAGCCAGGUGGGUGGCGUUCGGAAUAAAAUCUUUAAAUGAAAACGACAUGUAUCAUUGACGUAGUACAUACGAGAACACACGUACAGAGAAACGUCAUGCACCAUUAAGGUACGUACAUACGACGACACACCGACAGAAACCACAAGUCGGCUCAUGAUGAUAAUGAUGCUUAAAUGCACACUUAACUAC